RNAcentral lists this ribosomal RNA (492 nucleotides) under uncultured bacterium. RNAcentral's name for it is "partial 16S ribosomal RNA". It matches the Rfam family "Bacterial small subunit ribosomal RNA", at positions 29 to 507 of the family's 1533-position model. The record is from RNAcentral.
AGUGAACGCUGGCGGUAGGCCUAACACAUGCAAGUCGAACGGCAGCACAGUAAGAGCUUGCUCUUACGGGUGGCGAGUGGCGGACGGGUGAGGAAUACAUCGGAAUCUACUUUUUCGUGGGGGAUAACGUAGGGAAACUUACGCUAAUACCGCAUACGACCUACGGGUGAAAGCAGGGGAUCUUCGGACCUUGCGCGAUUGUAUGAGCCGAUGUCGGAUUAGCUAGUUGGCGGGGUAAAGGCCCACCAAGGCGACGAUCCGUAGCUGGUCUGAGAGGAUGAUCAGCCACCCUGGAACUGAGACACGGUCCAGACUCCUACGGGAGGCAGCAGUGGGGAAUAUUGGACAAUGGGCGCAAGCCUGAUCCAGCCAUACCGCGUGGGUGAAGAAGGCCUUCGGGUUGUAAAGCCCUUUUGUUGGGAAAGAAAAGCAGCAGGUUAAUACCCCGCUGUUCUGACGGUACCCAAAGAAUAAGCACCGGCUAACUUCGUG